This 418-nucleotide long non-coding RNA is filed under the name Salmo salar (Atlantic salmon). RNAcentral's name for it is "lncRNA (ENSSSAG00000089111.1)". Lineage: Eukaryota; Metazoa; Chordata; Actinopteri; Salmoniformes; Salmonidae. The record is from RNAcentral.
ACACACACACUACCCCUACAUCUAGUCCUUACAGGUAACACACACACACUACCCCUACAUCUAGUCCUUACAGGUAACACACACACACUACCCCUACACCUAGUCCUUACAGGUAACACACACACACUACCCCUACAUCUAGUCCUUACAGGUAACACACACACACUACCCCUACACCUAGUCCUUACAGGUAACACACACACACUACCCCUACACCUAGUCCUUACAGGUAACACACACACUACCCCUACAUCUAGUCCUUACAGGUAACACACACACUACCCCUACACCUAGUCCUUACAGGUAACACACACACUACCCCUACAUCUAGUCCUUACAGGUAACACACACACUACCCCUACGUCUAGUCCUUACAGGUAACACACACACACUACCCCUACAUCUAGUCCUUACAGGU